Molecule: long non-coding RNA, 430 nt
Organism: Zophobas morio
Lineage: Eukaryota; Metazoa; Arthropoda; Insecta; Coleoptera; Tenebrionidae
Exons: 2
Source: RefSeq, a predicted model, not a curated record
UGAAGACCAUAGCUGCUCUUACUACCUUCGUUAUUUGUACUUUUUUUUUGUGUAAAGGUGCGGAAGCGAAUGUUAAACAGUGUUAUUACUGCUUACUCAGAUGCGAUGAUCCUAUAGCAAUCAGAAAUUGUUCCAACGUAGAGGGAGAUACAUUGACAUACAGCUGUAUAACACAAGCAUUUUCACAAGAUGGUGUUGAAGUGGAAAAUAAAGGUUGUAUACUAGCUAAUGACAAAACUCAAGUUGUUGCAUGUGACGCCAUAGAAGCACAAGAUGGAGGUCACUGUAAUAUCUGUGACGAAGAUUUGUGUAAUUCAGGAAACAUAUACACAUUUACUUUUGUUUUACUAUCCGCAAUGAUAAUUCUUUGUAAAAUGUUGUAAAUUACUUCAUUAAUAAUAAUCUUUAAUAAAAUUAGUACAUAGAAAAA